AGCAGCCGCGGUAAUUCCAGCUCCAAUAGCGUAUAUUAAAGUUGUUGCAGUUAAAAAGCUCGUAGUUGAAUUUCGGGGUUAGCAGGUUGGUCGUGCCAAUGGUAUGCACUGGCCUUGCUGAUUCCUCCCUCUUGAUGAGCCGUAAUGCCAUUAAUUUGGUGUUGCGGGGAAUCAGGACUGUUACUUUGAAAAAAUUAGAGUGUUUAAAGCAGGCAAGCGCUUGAAUACAUUAGCAUGGAAUAAUGAAAUAGGACGUUUGAUCCUAUUUUGUUGGUUUCUAGGAUUGACGUAAUGAUUAAUAGGGAUAGUUGGGGGCAUUAGUAUUCAAUUGUCAGAGGUGAAAUUCUUGGAUUUAUUGAAGACUAACUACUGCGAAAGCAUUUGCCAAGGAUGUUUUCAUUAAUCAAGAACGAAAGUUAGGGGAUCGAAGACGAUCAGAUACCGUCGUAGUCUUAACCAUAAACUAUGCCGACUAGGGAUCGGAUGAUGUUAAUUUUUUAAUGACUCAUUC
RNAcentral lists this ribosomal RNA (511 nucleotides) under uncultured Glomus. RNAcentral's name for it is "SSU rRNA". It matches the Rfam family "Eukaryotic small subunit ribosomal RNA", at positions 569 to 1081 of the family's 1831-position model. Lineage: Eukaryota; Fungi; Glomeromycota; Glomeromycetes; Glomerales; Glomeraceae. The record is from RNAcentral.